CCGUUCUGCGGUUGGGCAUAGCCGGGCUCCCCGUUGCUCGCUCGCUUAACUAAGGCCACAGAGCCUGGAAGUGGUGGCGGCAGCCUCUGUUCAAACCUAGGCCAGGCUUUUCUCCACCUUUGGUGAAGAGAGGGCUGCACCGGCCGGUGGUCACUCAGCCUGUCCUCGCCCUGGCAUUGUUGCUGAGUCCCUGCCAGGUUCUGGGCUGUCCCUGGGGCCAGCUAGGAAAUUCCCGGUGACUAAAGCACACCUGACAUGCCAAGGAAAGCACGGGAGGAGGGCUCUUAGGAGAGAUGAGGAUUUUAUUGAGCACCUACUGCAGGGCUCAGCACUGGGGGAGGAUGGCUGGUAAGUUAACAGCCUUUGGCUCUGAGAACCUAAGAUGUAAAUACUCAAGCACAGAUAAGUGGACCUUGAAGGAGAUGAGUCAGGGAAAAGGUAUUAUUAGGUUGUGGGGUCCAGCAUGGGCAAUGGCUUGGCAGUGAGGGCAGAAACAAAAUGUGGGAGGUGGUGAGAGACCCGGCAGUGGGAAAUGAGGUUGGGGAAGACAAACUGAUGAAGAGUUUUUGGCACCAGGCUGAAGAUUUGAGGCAUUACCCAAGUCUGUUGGUAGGAGGCAAGCAGAUUGCAGCAACCUUCUCUCUUCUAGACAGCCGUGGCAGGCUGACCCCAACUCAGGAAACAGAGCCAGAGGACCAAAGCCACAGGAGAAAGCUGCCUCCAGGGGACUGGUCUUUGUUGACACAGCCCUGAAUUGUCAUGGAGUCCUAGUGGCAUAUAUUGGGUCUCCCCGGUGGCGCAGCUGUUG
Molecule: long non-coding RNA, 808 nt
Organism: Talpa occidentalis (Iberian mole)
Lineage: Eukaryota; Metazoa; Chordata; Mammalia; Eulipotyphla; Talpidae
Exons: 3
Source: RefSeq, a predicted model, not a curated record